UGAGAGAGGAUCUUGAGUGUUUUUGUUAAUACAAAAACUUUUGCGUACUUUAAAAAGGUACGAGAAUAAGGGCUGGGCAAGAUCGGUGCCAGCAGCCGCGGUAAUCCCGACGGCCCAAGUGGGACUCACAAUUAUUGGGUCUAAAACAUUCGUAGCCGGCUUUUCAAGUUCUAUGUUAAAUUGCAAGGCUUAACCUUGCAGCUGCAUAGAAUACUGGGAGGCUAGGGACUGGGAGACGUAAUGAGUACAUCGAGGGGAGUAGUAAAAUAUGUUAAUCCUCGCUGGACUAACAAUGGCGAAGGCACGUUACGAGAACAGAUCCGACGGUGAGGAAUGAAGGCCAGGGGCGCAAAUUGGAUUAGAUACCCAAGUAGUCCUGGCAGUAAACCCUGCAUACUAAACAUUGUGAUCUCCUCGAGAGAUUGCAGUGCUGAAGCGAAGGCGGAAGUAUGCUACCUGGGGAGUAUAGUCGCAAGAUCGAAACUUAAAGGAAUUGGCGGGGGAGCACUACAACGGGUGAUCGCGUGCGGUUUAAUUAGAUUCUACACCGUGAACCUUACCAGGAUCGACUGCAGAAUGAAGGUCAGUCUGAAGGGCUUACCUGACACGCAGAGAGGGAGUGCAUGGCCGUCGUCAGCCUGUGUCGUGAGAUGAUCUGUUAAAUCAGUUAACAGGCGAGACCCGCGUGCGUUGUUGCUAACCUGUAUGGAAGCACACUACGCAGACUGCUUCAGUAAUGAAGAGGAAGGUGCGGGCUACGAUAGGUGAGUACGCUCCGAAUACCCUGGGCUACACGCGCGCGUCAAUGGCGAUAACAAUGAGAUGCAAUGCCGAAAGGUAAAGCUAACCCCCUAAAUAUCGUCUUAGUCCCGAUUGAGCCUUGAAACCCAGGCUCAUGACGUUGGAAUCCGUAGUAAUCGGACGUUAUCAGCGUCCGGUGAAUAAUGUCCCUG
This 953-nucleotide ribosomal RNA is filed under the name uncultured euryarchaeote. RNAcentral describes it as "bacterial SSU rRNA". It matches the Rfam family "Archaeal small subunit ribosomal RNA", at positions 368 to 1332 of the family's 1478-position model. Lineage: Archaea; Methanobacteriati; Methanobacteriota. The record is from RNAcentral.